Molecule: ribosomal RNA, 497 nt
Filed under: uncultured bacterium
Lineage: Bacteria
Description: partial 16S ribosomal RNA
Rfam family: Bacterial small subunit ribosomal RNA
Source: RNAcentral
GAUGAACGCUGGCGGCGUGCCUAAUACAUGCAAGUCGAGCGAACAGAUAAGGAUCUUGCUCCUUUGACGUUAGCGGCGGACGGGUGAGUAACACGUGGGUAACCUACCUAUAAGACUGGGAUAAUUUCGGGAAACCGGAGCUAAUAGCGGAUAAGAUUCUGAACCGCAUGGGUCGAUAGUGAAAGAUGGCUUUGCUAUCACUUAUAGAUGCAUCUCCGCCGUAUUAGCUAGUUGGUAAGGUAACGGCUUACCAAGGCGACGAUACGUAGCCGACCUGAGUGGGUGGUCGGCCACAUUGGAACUUAGACAGCGACAUGACUCCUAAGGUACGCCGCAGUCGGGAACCGGCCGCAAUAGGGGAGAGCCUUACGGAGCGACGCCGCGUGAGUGAUGAAGGCCUUCCGAUCGUAAAGCUCUGUUAUUAGGGAAGAACCUACUUGUAAGUAACUGUACACGUCUUGACGGUACCUAAUCAGAAAGCCACGGCUAACUACGUG